GAGACAGCAGCAGCCGCGGGAAUACAGAGGGUGCGAGCGUUAAUCGGAUUUACUGGGCGUAAAGCGUGCGUAGGCGGCUUCUUAAGUCGGAUGUGAAAUCCCUGAGCUUAACUUAGGAAUUGCAUUCGAUACUGGGAAGCUAGAGUAUGGGAGAGGAUGGUAGAAUUCCAGGUGUAGCGGUGAAAUGCGUAGAGAUGUGGAGGAAUACCGAUGGCGAAGGCAGCCCCCUGGGCCAAUACUGACGCUCAUGCACGAAAGCGUGGGGAGCAAACAGGAUUAGAUACCCCUGUAGUCCCUGUCUCUUAUAC
RNAcentral lists this ribosomal RNA (308 nucleotides) under uncultured bacterium. Its description in RNAcentral is "partial 16S ribosomal RNA". It matches the Rfam family "Bacterial small subunit ribosomal RNA", at positions 505 to 807 of the family's 1533-position model. The record is from RNAcentral.